AUUGAACGCUGGCGGCAUGCUUUACACAUGCAAGUCGAACGGUAACAGGCCGCAAGGUGCUGACGAGUGGCGGACGGGUGAGUAAUGCAUCGGAACGUGCCCAGUCGUGGGGGAUAACUACUCGAAAGAGUAGCUAAUACCGCAUACGAUCUAUGGAUGAAAGCGGGGGACCGUAAGGCCUCGCGCGAUUUGAGCGGCCGAUGUCAGAUUAGGUAGUUGGUGGGGUAAAGGCUCACCAAGCCAACGAUCUGUAGCUGGUCUGAGAGGACGACCAGCCACACUGGGACUGAGACACGGCCCAGACUCCUACGGGAGGCAGCAGUGGGGAAUUUUGGACAAUGGGCGCAAGCCUGAUCCAGCAAUGCCGCGUGCAGGAAGAAGGCCUUCGGGUUGUAAACUGCUUUUGUACGGAACGAAACGGCUCUGGUUAAUACCCGGGGCUAAUGACGGUACCGGAAGAAUAAGCACCGGCUAACUACGUG
RNAcentral lists this ribosomal RNA (482 nucleotides) under uncultured bacterium. RNAcentral's name for it is "partial 16S ribosomal RNA". It matches the Rfam family "Bacterial small subunit ribosomal RNA", at positions 30 to 507 of the family's 1533-position model. The record is from RNAcentral.